This 84-nucleotide transfer RNA is filed under the name Clostridium sp. RNAcentral describes it as "tRNA-Tyr". It matches the Rfam family "tRNA". From Rfam's summary of the family: Transfer RNA (tRNA) molecules are approximately 80 nucleotides in length. Their secondary structure includes four short double-helical elements and three loops (D, anti-codon, and T loops). The record is from RNAcentral. Lineage: Bacteria; Bacillati; Bacillota; Clostridia; Eubacteriales; Clostridiaceae. RNAcentral also lists the same sequence under 7 other names.
GGGGAGGUAGCGAAGUGGCUAAACGCGGCUGACUGUAACUCAGUUCCUUAUGGUUCGGCAGUUCGAAUCUGCCCCUCCCCACCA